AUAUUGACUGUGCAAAGGUAGCAUAAUCAUUAGUCUUUUAAUUGGGGACUGGUAUGAAUGGUUUAACGAAGUAUUAACUGUCUCAUUUUAAUAAGUUGAAAUUAACUUUUAAGUCAAAAGGCUUAAAUAAAGUUAGAGGACGAGAAGACCCUAUAGAGCUUUAUAAAUUUAAUAUAAAAUAUAAUUUGGUAGUUUUAUUAAUUUAUGUAUAGAAUUUAUUUUAUUGGGGUGAUAUAAAGAUUUAAUAAACUCUUUAUAAUAAUUGAACAUUAAUAUAUGAAUGAUUGAUCCAUUUUUAGUGAUUAUAAGAUUAAGUUACCUUAGGGAUAACAGCGUAAUGUUUUUUGAGAGUUCUUAUCAACAAAAAAGAUUGCGACCUCGAUGUUGGAUUAAGGAAAAGGUUGGG
This 406-nucleotide ribosomal RNA is filed under the name Troglophilus gajaci. Its description in RNAcentral is "partial 16S ribosomal RNA". The record is from RNAcentral. Lineage: Eukaryota; Metazoa; Arthropoda; Insecta; Orthoptera; Rhaphidophoridae.